GACGAACGCUGGCGGCGUGCCUAAUACAUGCAAGUAGAACGCUGAAGAGAGGAGCUUGCUCUUCUUGGAUGAGUUGCGAACGGGUGAGUAACGCGUAGGUAACCUGCCUUGUAGCGGGGGAUAACUAUUGGAAACGAUAGCUAAUACCGCAUGACAAUGGAUGACACAUGUCAUUUAUUUGAAAGGGGCAAUUGCUCCACUACAAGAUGGACCUGCGUUGUAUUAGCUAGUAGGUGAGGUAAUGGCUCACCUAGGCGACGAUACAUAGCCGACCUGAGAGGGUGAUCGGCCACACUGGGACUGAGACACGGCCCAGACUCCUACGGGAGGCAGCAGUAGGGAAUCUUCGGCAAUGGGGGCAACCCUGACCGAGCAACGCCGCGUGAGUGAAGAAGGUUUUCGGAUCGUAAAGCUCUGUUGUAAGUCAAGAACGGGUGUGAGAGUGGAAAGUUCACACUGUGACGGUAGCUUACCAGAAAGGGACGGCUAACUACGUG
Molecule: ribosomal RNA, 497 nt
Filed under: uncultured bacterium
Lineage: Bacteria
Description: partial 16S ribosomal RNA
Rfam family: Bacterial small subunit ribosomal RNA
Source: RNAcentral